This 252-nucleotide ribosomal RNA is filed under the name uncultured bacterium. Its description in RNAcentral is "partial 16S ribosomal RNA". It matches the Rfam family "Bacterial small subunit ribosomal RNA", at positions 524 to 776 of the family's 1533-position model. The record is from RNAcentral.
UACAGAGGGGCAAGCGUUGUUCGGAAUUACUGGGCGUAAAGGGCGCGUAGGCGGCCCGCUAAGUCGAACGUGAAAUCCCUGGGCUCAACCCAGGAACUGCGUCCGAUACUGGCAGGCUUGAAUCCGGGAGAGGGAUGUGGAAUUCCAGGUGUAGCGGUGAAAUGCGUAGAUAUCGGGAGGAACACCUGUGGCGAAAGCGGCGCACUGGACCACAACUGACGCUGAGGCGCGAAAACUAGGGGAGCAAACAGG